CUUACUUCUCCAAGUGACUAAAUUGUCAUCAACAAAGGUGCAAUAACCUGAUGUCGAUCUUCUAUUAUCGAGAGCUCCAGCCCAAUCUGCAUUUGUAAAGACUUUUAUCUGGAGAUGGCCAUGCUUUGAAAAAUGAAGUCUCUUUCUAGGUGCAGAUUUUAAAUAGCUCAAAAUACUGAAGACAACUUCUAAGUGAGGUUGU
Molecule: unclassified non-coding RNA, 202 nt
Filed under: Hevea brasiliensis (rubber tree)
Lineage: Eukaryota; Viridiplantae; Streptophyta; Magnoliopsida; Malpighiales; Euphorbiaceae
Source: RNAcentral